GUAGGUGGCAAGCGUUGUCCGGGAAUUAUUGGGGCGUAAAGCGCGCGCAGGCGGUUCUUUAAGUCUGAUGUGAAAGCCCACGGGCUCAACCGUGGAGGGUCAUUGGAAACUGGAGAACUUGAGUACAGAAGAGGAAAGCGGAAUUCCACGUGUAGCGGUGAAAUGCGUAGAGAUGUGGAGGAACACCAGUGGCGAAGGCGGCAUUCUGGUCUGUAACUGACGCUGAGGCGCGAAAGCGUGGGGAGCAAACAGGAUUAGAUACCCUGGUAGUCCACGCCGUAAACGAUGAGUGCUAAGUGUUAGGGGGUUUCCGCCCCUUAGUGCUGCAGCUAACGCAUUAAGCACUCCGCCUGGGGAGUACGGCCGCAAAGGCUG
This 375-nucleotide ribosomal RNA is filed under the name uncultured organism. Its description in RNAcentral is "partial 16S ribosomal RNA". It matches the Rfam family "Bacterial small subunit ribosomal RNA", at positions 527 to 896 of the family's 1533-position model. The record is from RNAcentral.